Molecule: non-coding RNA, 23 nt
Filed under: Arabidopsis thaliana (thale cress)
Lineage: Eukaryota; Viridiplantae; Streptophyta; Magnoliopsida; Brassicales; Brassicaceae
Source: RNAcentral
GAUUACCAUCACGAUGGAUGUAC